Molecule: ribosomal RNA, 468 nt
Filed under: uncultured bacterium
Lineage: Bacteria
Description: partial 16S ribosomal RNA
Rfam family: Bacterial small subunit ribosomal RNA
Source: RNAcentral
GACGAACGCUGGCGGCGUGCUUAACACAUGCAAGUCGAACGGAAAGGCCCUGCUUUUGUGGGGUGCUCGAGUGGCGAACGGGUGAGUAACACGUGAGUAACCUGCCCUUGACUUUGGGAUAACUUCAGGAAACUGGGGCUAAUACCGGAUAGGAGCUCCUGCUGCAUGGUGGGGGUUGGAAAGUUUCGGCGGUUGGGGAUGGACUCGCGGCUUAUCAGCUUGUUGGUGGGGUAGUGGCUUACCAAGGCUUUGACGGGUAGCCGGCCUGAGAGGGUGACCGGCCACAUUGGGACUGAGAUACGGCCCAGACUCGUACGGGAGGCAGCAGUGGGGAAUAUUGCACAAUGGGCGGAAGCCUGAUGCAGCAACGCCGCGUGCGGGAUGACGGCCUUCGGGUUGUAAACCGCUUUCGACUGUGACGAAGCGUGAGUGACGGUAAUGGGUAAAGAAGCACCGGCUAACUACGUG